RNAcentral lists this ribosomal RNA (997 nucleotides) under uncultured bacterium. RNAcentral describes it as "bacterial SSU rRNA". It matches the Rfam family "Bacterial small subunit ribosomal RNA", at positions 8 to 1002 of the family's 1533-position model. The record is from RNAcentral.
AGAGUUUGAUCAUGGCUCAGAGCGAACGCUGGCGGCGUGCUUAACACAUGCAAGUCGAACGCGCAGUUCGGUGUAGCAAUACACUGGAUGGGCGCGUGGCGAACGGGUGCGUAACACGUGGAUAACCUUCCUUCAGGUGGGGAAUAACCCAGCGAAAGUUGGGCUAAUACCGCAUCACAUUACGAGGGCACAUGCUCUUGUACUCAAACCCGCAAGGGGCCAGAAGAGGGAUCCGCGGCCGAUUAGCUAGUUGGCGAGGUAAUGGCUCACCAAGGCAAUGAUCGGUAGCCGGACUGAGAGGUUGGCCGGCCACACCGGAACUGAGACACGGUCCAGACUCCUACGGGAGGCAGCAGUGGGGAAUCUUGCGCAAUGGGCGAAAGCCUGACGCAGCAACGCCGCGUGGGGGAUGAAGCUUCUCGGAGUGUAAACCCCUUUCGACCCGGAAGAAUGCCCGCAAGGGCUUGACGGUACGGGUAUAAGAAGCCCCGGCUAACUACGUGCCAGCAGCCGCGGUAAUACGUAGGGGGCCAGCGUUGCUCGGAAUUACUGGGCGUAAAGGGUCCGUAGGCGGUGUGGCAAGUCGGGAGUGAAAUCUCUGGGCUUAACUCAGAGGCUGCUUCCGAAACUGCCGUACUAGAGUGUGAGAGAGGCGAGUGGAAUUGCGGGUGUAGCGGUGAAAUGCGUAGAUAUCCGCAGGAACAUCCGAGGCGAAAGCGGCUCGCUGGAUCACAACUGACGCUGAGGGACGAAAGCUAGGGGAGCAAACAGGAUUAGAUACCCUGGUAGUCCUAGCCCUAAACCAUCACGACUUGGGGUUUGCCCUGUACGGGGCAAGUCCCGUAGCUAACGCGUUAGGUCCUGCGCCUGGGGAGUACGGUCGCAAGACUGAAACUCAAGGAAUUGACGGGGGCCCGCACAAGCGGUGGAACAUGUGGUUCAAUUCGACGCAACGCGAAGAACCUUACCUGGGCUUGAACCGCACAGGGACCAUCGU